UACGGAGGGUGCAAGCGUUGCUCGGAAUUAUUGGGCGUAAAGGGUAGGCAGGUGGUCUCAUUUGUCUGGGGUGAAAGCCUUGAGCUUAACUCAAGAAGUGCCCCAGAAACGGUGGGACUGGAGUCCUGGAGAGGGUUGUGGAAUUCCCGGUGUAGCGGUGAAAUGCGUAGAGAUCGGGAGGAACACCAGAGGCGAAAGCGGCGACCUGGACAGGUACUGACACUCAACUACGAAAGCGUGGGGAGCAAACAGG
Molecule: ribosomal RNA, 253 nt
Filed under: uncultured bacterium
Lineage: Bacteria
Description: partial 16S ribosomal RNA
Rfam family: Bacterial small subunit ribosomal RNA
Source: RNAcentral